CGUAGGGCGAAGCGUUGUCCGGAAUCACUGGGCGUAAAGCGCGCGCAGGCGGCUGUCUACGUCCGGGUGAAAGCCCAGAGCUCAACUCUGGGAUUGCCUUGGAUACGGGACGGCUUGAGGAUCGGAGAGGCAAGGGGAAUUCCACGUGUAGCGGUGAAAUGCGUAGAGAUGUGGAGGAACACCUGUGGCGAAGGCGCCUUGCUGGCCGAUUUCUGACGCUGAGGCGCGAAAGCGUGGGAGCAAACAGGAUU
This 251-nucleotide ribosomal RNA is filed under the name uncultured bacterium. Its description in RNAcentral is "partial 16S ribosomal RNA". It matches the Rfam family "Bacterial small subunit ribosomal RNA", at positions 526 to 779 of the family's 1533-position model. The record is from RNAcentral.